CAAUAGCGUAUAUUAAAGUUGUUGCAGUUAAAAAGCUCGUAGUUGGAUUUCUGAUCGAGACAUCAGGUCGGGUCCGAGAGGAACAUGUACUUUGAUUUUGUUUUGAUCAUCCUUGGGGAGAGCAUUUCUGGCAUUCAGUUGUCGGGAUUGGGAUCCUCAUCGUUUACUGUGAAAAAAUUAGAGUGUUCAAAGCAGGCCUCGGCCUCUGAAUACAUUAGCAUGGAAUAAUAAGAUAGGACUUUGGUGGUCUAUUUUGUUGGUUUGCACGCCAAAGUAAUGAUUAAUAGGGAUAGUUGGGGGUAUUCGUAUUCAAUUGUCAGAGGUGAAAUUCUUGGAUUUAUGGAAGACGAACUACUGCGAAAGCAUUUACCAAGGAUGUUUUCAUUAA
This 388-nucleotide ribosomal RNA is filed under the name uncultured eukaryote. Its description in RNAcentral is "partial 18S ribosomal RNA". It matches the Rfam family "Eukaryotic small subunit ribosomal RNA", at positions 592 to 976 of the family's 1831-position model. The record is from RNAcentral.